AAUAAAGUAAAAAAUAUAACAAAAUCCUAACAUUAUCAGUAUACCCUGUGAAAGUUAGUCGUAUUUAAGAAAUAUUCCUGAUGAGCAUAUUUACAUAAAAAGUCCAACAACUUGGCUCUGAAUCUGACUUUGAACCAUUCCAAGAAGAGAACUUUCAAAGCGGACGGAGUGACGAUCGUGUGUAAAAAGAAAGUAGGUGGGCAGGCGUAAAGAACACCAUCGGAGCGGGAGUCAGUUGAGAGAACUUUGGAUCGGACCGGACGGCUCUCCCGCUCCCGUGGAUCGGGUGGCUUAAGAAGUGUUACAAUCCCGCGCUGCGCCACAGAAGAAAGAAAGUUUUCGCCUGUGCUGGCUGCUUUGCUCGAGUCGCUCGUCUGGAGUACCUGACUUUGGUACUAACAUUGGCCCAUAGUACUACCACCAUUCCAGUGGCAAUUUAAACAGCCAAUCCGUGUGCUCAGUGGAGCGUCUUCCGCGUUUGUGGCUGCGUCGCUUAAUUGGCCCCAAAGUAUCUCAAGUGUGUGAUUGUGAAAGUUCCUGCUACAAAAAUGUACGUGCGACGUGCUUGGCUCUUGGCCUGUUUGCUGUGCCUUCAUCCCUAUGCCCCCACGUUGGCGGAAGAGGAGGACUCUAAUCCGCUGCUGGACAUGGCUUCCAUGUUCUUCCAGGAGGCUCUGUCCAAUCAGAAUGGUGGCGGCAACAACGGUGGCGGCGGCGGUGGGGCAGGAGCUGGCCUGGCGGGCGUGGCCUCGCUGUUGGGCACUUUUAUGCAGGCCAACGGCAAGGGCGGAGCUGGAGGCGGCGGAGCUAUGCAGAUCCUUUCCGGCAUCGGCAGUCUUCUGGCCAACAAUGCCCGUGGUGGUGGCGGCCAGGGCGGUGGCUUCGACCCCUCUAUCAUCGGCAAUGUCCUGGAAAUGUUCACCCAGGGUGAUGAGGAGGAAUCCACUCCCAACCACAACCAGAAGCGAAGCAAUGGUGGCGGAUCGGAGUCUGGAAUCGGUCUGGAUACCAUCCUCCAGGUGGCUUCCGCUUUCAUGAACACUCAGGGAAAUGACAAGGCUACCCAUAAUCACCAAAAGCGAUCCGCUGGCGAGGAACCCGAGACCGACAACGGACUGAUGAACCUGCUCCCGUUGGUGAUGCAGGCGGUUAGCUCCUUCGCCGGUCCCGAGGGACAGAGCACCCAGGAGAAGCACAAGAGUCAUGCCUGGGUUCUGCCCCCAUUCCUGGAACACAUCCACGUGCUGUGGGAUCACUUCUCCAACUCGGAACUGGCGGAUGCCCUGUACGAGAAAUCCGGAGUCAACAAGAUAAUGAAGGGCUUCAAGGGCAGUGAUGGCAAACUGGACUAUGACAAGCUCUUCGAAUCGCUGAACAACCAAUCCUUCCGCCGCCGAUGGAUCAAGUCAGCCACACUCUACCUGGCCGACUGGGCCAGCUAUCUGGCCAAUCCCGAUGUCUAUCUCAGAUACUUCCAGACGGCACAGAUCAUGUUUAACGGCCUACUGAAGUCUCAAGGUUACCCGAAGCAGACGCACUUCGAUCCCGCCCGUCCUGGUGAGACGAUCUCCAAUCUAUUGGACCACGUGGCGAAGCAUCAUCUGAACGUGAAGAUCGACUCCCGGCAGUAUGUGAAGCCAGCGGUGGGCUAUGCCAAGGAGCUCCUCAAACUGGGCCAGGCCCGCGGUCUGUUGCAGUUCAAUGCCACCGAGAUCAGCGACAAGCUAACGGAUACGCUCAACCUGGAGGUUAUUGAACCGGUGCUAAAAGUCCAUCGCGCCUACAGAUACAUCUCGAAGACGCCGCAAUGCGAUCGUUAUGUGCUCUGCCAGCUGAAUGCAGUGGCUCUUGACCAGCAACAGAAACUCCAACAGCAGCAGAAGAGUCAACAUCGGCAGGCACAGACAUCGGCGUCCGGUUUGAUUGCCGGAGUUAGUCCGAAAAUUGUUAAGAUCGGCAGCAUGGGUGCUGCUAUAUUCAUUAGCACGGAAACCGGUACGCCGUUCUGGACGCUAUUCGGUGUGAUCAAUGCGCCAUACAAUUGCGAGGCCAAAUAUCCAGUCGAUUGCAAUGGCUUCCACGAAGGCGAGGCCAAGGUGACCACGGAGUACAUCCACAAUGAGUUGUAGACACUGUCGCCUUGGCUCCAGGCGGAGAUCGGGAUACGAUCGAUAGGGAGGAUUCUCAUUAAGACGACAUAGUAGCUGUAAUUGAGAUUUUAUGGAUUUUUUCUGGGUCUGGAUCUUAAGACAAUUUUCGGAAGACUUGUCAGAUUAAUUUCAACUAAUUUGGCUAGAUUUGAAGUCUAAAAUCAAGUUCACCAUAAUUUUCAAAACAACCACCAUUAUGAACUGAUGACUUUUACCUCCAAAGUCAACGAACCAUGAGAGAAAAUCUUUCAAAUAAUACAGUCUAACUUCGAUAAGUCAGACCUUUAUGGUAAAAAAAACUAUAAGGGAAAAAAAUAGAAGAAAAGAAGAACCUUCCGAGGGUUCUGUAUUUGUAAUUUAUUGGUCAUUAAGGAAAAAAUAUAUAAAAUUACAAGCAUAGUUUAAAAGUA
This is an RNA transcript of Drosophila ananassae, 2560 nucleotides long. RefSeq lists it as uncharacterized. The transcript is spliced from 7 exons. NCBI's taxonomy places the organism in Eukaryota, Metazoa, Arthropoda, Insecta, Diptera, Drosophilidae. The record is from RefSeq and is a predicted model, not a curated record.